This 28-nucleotide non-coding RNA is filed under the name Mus musculus (house mouse). The record is from RNAcentral. Lineage: Eukaryota; Metazoa; Chordata; Mammalia; Rodentia; Muridae.
UGAGUCAUUGGAAGAGGUCCAUAGCCCA